CUGGGUCGAGCGGUUGCGCUGGCGCAGAUAGUCGAGCCAGGUCGGACAGUGGUAUCGCUCGGUCCAUAGCUCAGGAUCGGCGAUGUCGCGGGAAAUGGACCAGUCGUAGGCCCCGUUGCGCUGGCGGGUCGCCUGGACCUUCAGCAUGACGUCGUAGAACUCACGCGCCCGUUCGGUGGCCACGCGAUACUCGACCUCGAUGACGAUCGGUCCGCUGCGCGGUGUGAUCGACAAAUUCACCUCCGGCUCGGCCAGCGCAUCCACCGCGUCGUUGUUGGCGCCUUCGGUCGACGGCAUGCGCAGCCAGAUCGCAAGGAUCGGC
This 322-nucleotide unclassified non-coding RNA is filed under the name Hevea brasiliensis (rubber tree). The record is from RNAcentral. Lineage: Eukaryota; Viridiplantae; Streptophyta; Magnoliopsida; Malpighiales; Euphorbiaceae.